Molecule: long non-coding RNA, 1108 nt
Filed under: Olea europaea subsp. europaea
Lineage: Eukaryota; Viridiplantae; Streptophyta; Magnoliopsida; Lamiales; Oleaceae
Source: RNAcentral
GGGGGUGCUGAUGAGGGUUGGCGAAAAGAUUAAGCCUCCAUUUGGCAAAUAUAAAUGGUUUAUAAAUAAGAACAAUAAGAAGAAUAGUGGUGAAUCCUUUGUGUGGAUAAUAAAGAAUAGUAGUUAUAAAAACGUAGUUGAAAUUAAUGUUUGAUUAACUGAAUUUUUUUACAGGGUUUAUAAUUUGGUAUCCAUACGGAGGCUAAGAAUUUUCUUUUUUAUGCAUUUUUUUUUCCUCUUUUAAUUUUUGUAUCUGUAAAAGCUCAGUCUGAAAGCACGACCAGUCUAAUAACAUGCAUUCUUGUCCAACUGGAUGAUAUAAACAACGCACUAGCUGAUUUUUUUUAAGCCACAUUAGCAUUGACGGAGUGUCUGUGCAAAAACAAAAAUGAAAUUUCAGCUACUAAUUCGGAAUUGAAAUGGAUUUCGAUGAUCAAAAUGAAACAAUGCUAUAACUUUAAGUGAUAUCUGUGUUUUUAAACCUGUGUUUGGAUAGGCCAUUUCUUAUUACUUUACAACUUGGUUUCUCUCGCUUCCCAGGUACAUACAGAGUACCUGUGCUACAUCUGGGGAAGGCCUUUACGAGGGGCUCGAUUGGCUCUCCAAUAAUAUCGCUAACAAGGCAAGUGUACAAUCAUACAUUACUUUUACAGAAAAUCGUUCUCGAAUAUGCCUCCCAACNNNNNNNNNNNUUUUGAUUUCUUAUCCCCUCAUUCUGACAUUUCUCCCAUGUUACAUUUACAGGCAUAAAGUUAUAUGAAGUUUUUGUGAGUCGAUGCUUAUUAGUCCCGGCAGCCGGGUUCUUAUCUAGCCUUAUACAUUUAGUCUGUGUGUUUAUGGAUAUUCAUUUUCAAGUCGUCUUGUUUUGUUCACGACAGCUUUAACCAAUGUAUAUCACAAUGAUGGUUUGUUUUAUGCAUUUGCAAAUAUUUUUCUAGUAUUAACAUAUUAUAUUGACCUGCAUUUUAAAACUAAAUGGAUAUUACCUGUUAUAGGCCUAGGCCGGUCUGAGGGCAAGUUUGGCAUUGCUUUUACUUUUACUUUUGUUUUUGCUGUUUCCAAAAGAAAAACUUUUGGAACUUUGAGAGUGUAGCAAGUUAAGAUUCGG